GAUGAACGCUGGCGGCGUGCUUAACACAUGCAAGUCGAACGAAGCACUUUAUUUGAUUUCCUUCGGGACUGAUUAUUUUGUGACUGAGUGGCGGACGGGUGAGUAACGCGUGGGUAACCUGCCUUGUACAGGGGGAUAACAGUUGGAAACGGCUGCUAAUACCGCAUAAGCGCACGGCAUCGCAUGAUGCAGUGUGAAAAACUCCGGUGGUAUAAGAUGGACCCGCGUUGGAUUAGCUAGUUGGUGAGGUAACGGCCCACCAAGGCGACGAUCCAUAGCCGACCUGGGAGGGUGACCGGCCACAUUGGGACUGAGACACGGCCCAAACUCCUACGGGAGGCAGCAGUGGGGAAUAUUGCACAAUGGGCGAAAGCCUGAUGCAGCGACGCCGCGUGAGCGAAGAAGUAUUUCGGUAUGUAAAGCUCUAUCAGCAGGGAAGAUAAUGACGGUACCUGACUAAGAAGCACCGGCUAAAUACGUG
Molecule: ribosomal RNA, 481 nt
Filed under: uncultured bacterium
Lineage: Bacteria
Description: partial 16S ribosomal RNA
Rfam family: Bacterial small subunit ribosomal RNA
Source: RNAcentral